GACGAACGCUGGCGGCGUGCCUAAUACAUGCAAGUCGAACGAACCGCGACUAGGUGCUUGCACUUGGUCAAGGUGAGUGGCGAACGGGUGAGUAACACGUGGGUAACCUACCUCAUAGUUGGGGAUAACAGUCGGAAACGACUGCUAAUACCGCAUAGGACAUAGGCUCACAUGAUUCUGUGAGGAAAGGUGGCGCAAGCUAUCGCUAAGAUAUUGACCCGCGGUGCAUUAGCUAGUUGGUAGGGUAAAGGCCUACCAAGGCGAUGAUGCAUAGCCGACCUGAGAGGGUGAUCGGCCACAUUGGGACUGAGACACGGCCCAAACUCCUACGGGAGGCAGCAGUAGGGAAUCUUCCGCAAUGGACGCAAGUCUGACGGAGCAACGCCGCGUGAGUGAAGAAGGUCUUCGGAUCGUAAAGCUCUGUUGUUAGAGAAGAACAGCGCAUAGAGUAACUGUUAUGAGUGUGACGGUAACUAAACAGAAAGCCACGGCUAACUACGUG
This 502-nucleotide ribosomal RNA is filed under the name uncultured bacterium. Its description in RNAcentral is "partial 16S ribosomal RNA". It matches the Rfam family "Bacterial small subunit ribosomal RNA", at positions 28 to 507 of the family's 1533-position model. The record is from RNAcentral.